CCAGAGGAAAAGUAAUCAAACGAGAUUUUCUUAGUAGCGGCGAGCGAACGGGAAAGAGGCCAAACCGGAGCGGGCAACCGCACCGGGGUUGAGGACAGUCAUCAAGUGUAAAUGAGGUAGAAGAAUCGAGCUGGAAAGCUCAGCCGCAGAAGGUGAAAGCCCUGUAAUCGAAACCUUGCAUACACGGGACUGUAUCCAGAGUACCACGAGACACGUGAAACCUUGUGGGAAGCAGGGGGGACCACCCUCCAAGCCAAAAUACUGAUAUCGACCGAUAGCGCAUAGUACCGUGAGGGAAAGGUGAAAAGAACCCCUGGCGGGGAGUGAAAGAGAACCUGAAACCGUAUGUCUACAAACAGUCGAAGUCUGUAUAUAUAUCAGGACGACGGCGUGCCUAUUGAAGAAUGAACCGACGAGUUACUGUUGCUAGCGAGGUUAAGUGGAAAACAUGGAGCCGCAGCGAAAGCGAGUCUGAACAGGGCGUUCAGUUAGUAAUAGUAGACCCGAAACCGUAGUGAUCUAUCCAUGGCCAGGUUGAAGCACAGGUAAAAUUGUGUGGAGGACCGAACUCGUGAGCGUUGAAAAGCUUUGGGAUGAGUUGUGGAUAGGGGUGAAAUGCCAAUCGAACACGGAGAUAGCUGGUUCUCCCCGAAAUAGCUUUAGGGCUAGCCUCGAGGUAGAGAGUAUAGGCGGUAGAGCACUGAUCGGGCUAGGGGCCAUACCGGUUACCGAACCUAGUCAAACUACGAAUGGCUAUACUUAUACUCGGGAGUCAGACAGUGAAUGAUAAGGUCCAUUGUCAAGAGGGAAACAGCCCAGAACACCGACUAAGGUCCCAAAUGUUACACUAAGUGGCGAAGGAUGUGGAAUUUCCAAAACAACCAGGAUGUUGGCUUAGAAGCAGCCACCAUUUAAAGAGUGCGUAAUAGCUCACUGGUCGAGAGACUCUGCGCCGAAAAUGUCCGGGGCUAAAGUGUAAAACCGAAGUCGUGUCAUAUGCAGCAAUGUAUAUGGGUAGGGGAGCGUUCUCAUCGGGCUGAAGCAGUACCGUAAGGAGUUGUGGACUGAUGAGAAGUGAGAAUGUCGGUAUGAGUAGCGAAAAGAAUGGUGAGAAUCCAUUCCACCGAAAGCCUAAGGGUUCCUGAGCAACGAUCGUCGUCUCAGGGUAAGUCGGGACCUAAGCCGAGGCGGAAAAGCGUAGGCGAUGGACAACAGGUUGAAAUUCCUGUACCGGUGUGAAUCGUUUGAUCGAUGGAGUGACACAGUAAGGUAGGUCAGCACGCGAUUGGAAGAGCGUGUUUAAGCAGGUAGGUUGAGCUAUAGGUAAAUCCGUAGCUCUAAAAGCUGAGAUGUGAUGACGAGCGACUAGCAAUAGUCGCGAAGUGAUUGAUCCUACACUGUCGAGAAAAGCUUCUAGGUAGAGACACAUCGCCCGUACCAAAACCGACACAGGUAGGCGGGGAGAGAAUCCUAAGGUGCGCGGGAAAACCCUCGUUAAGGAACUCGGCAAAAUGCCUCCGUAACUUCGGGAAAAGGAGGACUCAUGUAGUGUGAAGAGCAGAAGCGCUUGGAGCAUGAAUGAGUGGCACAAGAGAGGCGCAAGCGACUGUUUACCACAAACACAGGUGCCUGCUAAAGCGAAAGCUGAUGUAUAGGUGCUGACGCCUGCCCGGUGCUGGAAGGUUAAGAGGAGGGGUUAGACUUCGGUCGAAGCUCUGAAUUGAAGCCCCAGUAAACGGCGGCCGUAACUAUAACGGUCCUAAGGUAGCGAAAUUCCUUGUCGGGUAAGUUCC
Molecule: ribosomal RNA, 1793 nt
Filed under: human gut metagenome
Description: bacterial LSU rRNA
Rfam family: Bacterial large subunit ribosomal RNA
Source: RNAcentral